RNAcentral lists this ribosomal RNA (380 nucleotides) under uncultured Acidimicrobium sp. RNAcentral's name for it is "bacterial SSU rRNA". It matches the Rfam family "Bacterial small subunit ribosomal RNA", at positions 521 to 896 of the family's 1533-position model. The record is from RNAcentral. Lineage: Bacteria; Bacillati; Actinomycetota; Acidimicrobiia; Acidimicrobiales; Acidimicrobiaceae.
UAACACGUAGGGGCCGAACGUUGUCCGGAUUUAUUGGGCGUAAAGGGCUCGUAGGCGGUUUGACAAGUCGGUCGUGAAAACCCGGGGCUCAACCCCGGGACGCCGGUCGAAACUGUCAUGACUAGGGUCCGGUAGAGGUGAGUGGAAUUCUCGGUGUAGCGGUGAAAUGCGCAGAUAUCGAGAGGAACACCAGUAGCGAAGGCGGCUCACUGGGCCGGUACCGACGCUGAGGAGCGAAAGCGUGGGGAGCAAACAGGAUUAGAUACCCUGGUAGUCCACGCCGUAAACGUUGAACACUAGGUGUGGGGGACAUAUCCACGUCCCCUGUGCCGCAGCUAACGCAUUAAGUGUUCCGCCUGGGGAGUACGGCCGCAAGGCUA